CAGCCGCCACGGUAAUACAGAGGGUGCGAGCGUUAAUCGGAUUUACUGGGCGUAAAGCGUGCGUAGGCGGCUUCUUAAGUCGGAUGUGAAAUCCCUGAGCUUAACUUAGGAAUUGCAUUCGAUACUGGGAAGCUAGAGUAUGGGAGAGGAUGGUAGAAUUCCAGGUGUAGCGGUGAAAUGCGUAGAGAUCUGGAGGAAUACCGAUGGCGAAGGCAGCCAUCUGGCCUAAUACUGACGCUGAGGUACGAAAGCAUGGGGAGCAAACAGGAUUAGAUACCCGCGUAGUCCCUGUCUCUAUACA
This 301-nucleotide ribosomal RNA is filed under the name uncultured bacterium. RNAcentral describes it as "partial 16S ribosomal RNA". It matches the Rfam family "Bacterial small subunit ribosomal RNA", at positions 509 to 808 of the family's 1533-position model. The record is from RNAcentral.